Molecule: ribosomal RNA, 253 nt
Filed under: uncultured bacterium
Lineage: Bacteria
Description: partial 16S ribosomal RNA
Rfam family: Bacterial small subunit ribosomal RNA
Source: RNAcentral
UACAGAGGGGGCAAGCGUUGUUCGGAAUUACUGGGCGUAAAGGGCGCGUAGGCGGCCUUCUAAGUCGAACGUGAAAUCCCCGGGCUCAACCCGGGAACUGCGUCCGAUACUGGAAGGCUUGAAUCCAGGAGAGGGAUGCGGAAUUCCAGGUGUAGCGGUGAAAUGCGUAGAUAUCUGGAGGAACACCGGUGGCGAAGGCGGCAUCCUGGACCGGCAUUGACGCUGAGGCGCGAAAGCGUGGGGAGUAAACAGG